Non-coding RNA from Electrophorus electricus (electric eel), 144 nucleotides. NCBI's taxonomy places the organism in Eukaryota, Metazoa, Chordata, Actinopteri, Gymnotiformes, Gymnotidae. The record is from RefSeq and is a predicted model, not a curated record.
ACUUUAAUAUGAAUGCCCCUCCAGAAAGCCCUAAAUUAGCAGUCAUUCCUGUUCCAGAUCCAUCACACUCUGACACUGCCGCAGUGUGUUCAACCUCAGAUACCUUGGAUAACUCUGAUGAAAUAAUCAGUAUGACUGCAGAAC